This 385-nucleotide ribosomal RNA is filed under the name uncultured bacterium. RNAcentral describes it as "bacterial SSU rRNA". It matches the Rfam family "Bacterial small subunit ribosomal RNA", at positions 30 to 416 of the family's 1533-position model. The record is from RNAcentral.
AUUGAACGCUGGCGGCAGGCCUAACACAUGCAAGUCGAGCGGUAGAGAGGUGCUUGCAUCUCUUGAGAGCGGCGGACGGGUGAGUAAUGCCUAGGAAUCUGCCUAGUGGUGGGGGAUAACGUUCGGAAACGGACGCUAAUACCGCAUACGACCUACGGGAGAAAGCGGGGGAUCUUCGGACCUCGCGCCAUUAGAUGAGCCUAGGUCGGAUUAGCUAGUUGGUGAGGUAAUGGCUCACCAAGGCGACGAUCCGUAACUGGUCUGAGAGGAUGAUCAGUCACACUGGAACUGAGACACGGUCCAGACUCCUACGGGAGGCAGCAGUGGGGAAUAUUGGACAAUGGCGAAAGCCUGAUCCAGCCAUGCCGCGUGUGUGAAGAAGGUC